Molecule: ribosomal RNA, 264 nt
Filed under: uncultured bacterium
Lineage: Bacteria
Description: partial 16S ribosomal RNA
Rfam family: Bacterial small subunit ribosomal RNA
Source: RNAcentral
GUCCACGCCCUAAACGAUGGAUACUAGGUGUGGGAGGUAUUGACCCCUUCCGUGCCGAAGCCAACGCGUUAAGUAUCCCGCCUGGGGACUACGGCCGCAAGGUUAAAACUCAAAGGAAUUGACGGGGCCCGCACAAGCAGCGGAGCGUGUGGUUCAAUUCGAUGCGACACGAAGAACCUUACCUAGGCUUGACAUGCAAGUGGUAGUGAAGCGAAAGCAGAACGACCCGCAAGGGAGCUUGCACAGGUGUUGCAUGGCUGUCGU